AUGGCCCUCGCAACAUAUAAACGAGGUUCAAAGGAUGUAUGUAUAGUAUCCUCUUUAAUUUUGCAAAAUUAUACGGUCCCCCCACGCCUCAUAUACCAAGUACCCAACAACGUCAAUCUUUCUGAUUCCAUGACAGGUGGAGCUGGUGGUGUGGCUCGGUUUCAUCAAGCGUUCCUUGGAGCAUGGAGUAAGCCCCUACCAGGAGUGUCUGAUCCUUUUGUUGCUGAGCUUUUAGCUCUCCGCGACUGGGUGAUCUUUGCACAACUGCGUGGGUACUCACAUGUGAUAAUGGAGGUUGAUUGCUUGGAGCUUGUCAACUAUGGAAUUCAUGCUGCAUCUCUCGUUCGGUAG
RNAcentral lists this ribosomal RNA (351 nucleotides) under Triticum aestivum (bread wheat). RNAcentral's name for it is "partial small subunit ribosomal RNA". The record is from RNAcentral. Lineage: Eukaryota; Viridiplantae; Streptophyta; Magnoliopsida; Poales; Poaceae.